Molecule: ribosomal RNA, 916 nt
Filed under: Laccaria sp. GMM7302
Lineage: Eukaryota; Fungi; Basidiomycota; Agaricomycetes; Agaricales; Hydnangiaceae
Description: eukaryotic LSU rRNA
Rfam family: Eukaryotic large subunit ribosomal RNA
Source: RNAcentral
AACUAACAAGGAUUCCCCUAGUAACUGCGAGUGAAGCGGGAAAAGCUCAAAUUUUAAAUCUGGCAGUCUUUGGCUGUCCGAGUUGUAAUCUAGAGAAGUAUUAUCCGCGCUGGACCGUGUACAAGUCUCCUGGAAUGGAGCGUCAUAGAGGGUGAGAAUCCCGUCUUUGACACGGACUGCCAGGGCUUUGUGAUGUGCUCUCAAAGAGUCGAGUUGUUUGGGAAUGCAGCUCAAAAUGGGUGGUAAAUUCCAUCUAAAGCUAAAUAUUGGCGAGAGACCGAUAGCGAACAAGUACCGUGAGGGAAAGAUGAAAAGAACUUUGGAAAGAGAGUUAAACAGUACGUGAAAUUGCUGAAAGGGAAACGCUUGAAGUCAGUCGCGUUGGCCAGUGAUCAACCUUGCUUUUUUUGCUUGGCUUACUUUCUGGUCAAUGGGUCAGCAUCAAUUUUGACUGGUGGAAAAAGUUCAAGGGAAUGUGGCAUCUUUGGAUGUGUUAUAGCUCUUGUUCGCAUACAUUGGUUGGGAUUGAGGAACUCAGCACGCCGAAAGGCCGGGUUUCUUUUGAAACCACGUACGUGCUUAGGAUGUUGGCAUAAUGGCUUUAAUCGACCCGUCUUGAAACACGGACCAAGGAGUCUAACAUGCAUGCGAGUGUUUGGGUGGAAAACCCAAGCGCAUAAUGAAAGUGAAAGUUGAGAUCCCUUUCAAUGGGGAGCAUCGACGCCCGGAUCUGACCUUUUGUGACGAUUCUGCGGUAGAGCAUGUAUGUUGGGACCCGAAAGAUGGUGAACUAUGCCUGAAUAGGGUGAAGCCAGAGGAAACUCUGGUGGAGGCUCGUAGCGAUUCUGACGUGCAAAUCGAUCGUCAAAUUUGGGUAUAGGGGCGAAAGACUAAUCGAACCAUCUAGUAGCUGGUC